UACGUAGGGGGCAAGCGUUGUCCGGAAUCAUUGGGCGUAAAGCGAGCGUAGGCGGCCCGAUAAGUCUGCUGUAAAAGUCAACGGCUCAACCGUUGAAAGCCGGUGGAUACUGUCGGGCUAGAGUUCGGAAGAGGCAAGUGGAAUUCCUGGUGGUAGCGGUGGGAAUGCGCAGAUAUCAGGAGGAACACCUAUAGCGAAGGCAGCUUGCUGGGACGAUACUGACGCUAAGGCUCGAAAGCGUGGGGAGCGAACAGG
RNAcentral lists this ribosomal RNA (255 nucleotides) under uncultured bacterium. Its description in RNAcentral is "partial 16S ribosomal RNA". It matches the Rfam family "Bacterial small subunit ribosomal RNA", at positions 524 to 776 of the family's 1533-position model. The record is from RNAcentral.